Long non-coding RNA from Homo sapiens (human), 544 nucleotides. The record is from Ensembl. NCBI's taxonomy places the organism in Eukaryota, Metazoa, Chordata, Mammalia, Primates, Hominidae.
AGUAAAGUUACAAUUUUGCAGAGAGCAUGAGAAAACAAGCAUCCUGGUUCUGGUAAAAACAAAACAAGACAUCAUCCUGGAAAAAUGACAUUCCAGAACUGGAACACAUAGCUAAGCAUCCAUUGGAUAGCUGCAGCACUGAUCGCCCAGGCCUCGUGUGGCUGAGAUGAAAUCCACAAUUCCUCCAACACAAGCAAGAGCUCCAUCUCUGCCUGAAGUGAGCAGUUCAGCACUGCUCCCUGGCCUCCCGGCCCUUUUGUUCAAUGACUGCCAAGCACCCUCUCCUUCUCUUAAGAAAAGUCCAAUGGGUAACGAGAUGGCACAGUCCAGCACAGUGUGCUAAUUCACUGGACUUCUACCAGUAAAAAGUUUCCAAAACUCUCUGGAGAAUAAUCUCUUCAGAUUCUAAGGAGGAGCUAGCAGGAUGGUGGGUGAUGGGAUGGUAGGAGAAAAUAUAAACUAUAGAAAAGUGGCUUAAAUGUAAGCAGUGAGUAUCUGGUAGAGAGCAUGGGUCAAACAGGAUGCUGGGACACAGCACAUAAGG